AACGAACGCUGGCGGCAGGCCUAACACAUGCAAGUCGAACGAAGUCUUCGGACUUAGUGGCGCACGGGUGAGUAACACGUGGGAAUAUACCUUACGCUGGGGGAUAACAUCGGGAAACUGAUGCUAAUACCGCAUACGCCCUUCGGGGGAAAGAUUUAUCGGCGAAAGAUUAGCCCGCGUCCGAUUAGCUAGUUGGUGAGGUAAUGGCUCACCAAGGCUCCGAUCGGUAGCUGGUCUGAGAGGAUGACCAGCCACACUGGGACUGCGACACGGCCCAGACUCCUACGGGAGGCAGCAGUGGGGAAUAUUGGACAAUGGGCGCAAGCCUGAUCCAGCCAUGCCGCGUGAGUGAUGAAGGCCUUAGGGUUGUAAAGCUCUUUCACCCACGACGAUGAUGACGGUAGUGGGAGAAGAAGCCCCGGCUAACUUCGUG
This 433-nucleotide ribosomal RNA is filed under the name uncultured bacterium. RNAcentral describes it as "partial 16S ribosomal RNA". It matches the Rfam family "Bacterial small subunit ribosomal RNA", at positions 29 to 507 of the family's 1533-position model. The record is from RNAcentral.